RNAcentral lists this ribosomal RNA (550 nucleotides) under uncultured bacterium. RNAcentral's name for it is "bacterial SSU rRNA". It matches the Rfam family "Bacterial small subunit ribosomal RNA", at positions 355 to 896 of the family's 1533-position model. The record is from RNAcentral.
UAGGGAAUCUUCGGCAAUGGGGGCAACCCUGACCGAGCAACGCCGCGUGAGUGAAGAAGGUUUUCGGAUCGUAAAGCUCUGUUGUAAGUCAAGAACGAGUGUGAGAGUGGAAAGUUCACACUGUGACGGUAGCUUACCAGAAAGGGACGGCUAACUACGUGCCAGCAGCCGCGGUAAUACGUAGGUCCCGAGCGUUGUCCGGAUUUAUUGGGCGUAAAGCGAGCGCAGGCGGUUUGAUAAGUCUGAAGUUAAAGGCUGUGGCUCAACCAUAGUUCGCUUUGGAAACUGUCAAACUUGAGUGCAGAAGGGGAGAGUGGAAUUCCAUGUGUAGCGGUGAAAUGCGUAGAUAUAUGGAGGAACACCGGUGGCGAAAGCGGCUCUCUGGUCUGUAACUGACGCUGAGGCUCGAAAGCGUGGGGAGCGAACAGGAUUAGAUACCCUGGUAGUCCACGCCGUAAACGAUGAGUGCUAGGUGUUGGAUCCUUUCCGGGGUUCAGUGCCGCAGCUAACGCAUUAAGCACUCCGCCUGGGGAGUACGACCGCAAGGUUG